GCUCUCGUUGCCCAGUUGGUUUGGGAGUCGUACUUAUAAGCAGUGUUUGAGUAUAUGCGAAGGUCGAGGGUUCGAUCCCUUCUGAGAGCA
Molecule: non-coding RNA, 90 nt
Organism: Paramuricea clavata
Lineage: Eukaryota; Metazoa; Cnidaria; Anthozoa; Malacalcyonacea; Plexauridae
Source: the annotation of a GenBank genome assembly